Molecule: long non-coding RNA, 5324 nt
Filed under: Populus trichocarpa (black cottonwood)
Lineage: Eukaryota; Viridiplantae; Streptophyta; Magnoliopsida; Malpighiales; Salicaceae
Description: long non-coding RNA (PTRI_LNC002195)
Source: RNAcentral
GUUAAUCUAUUCAAGCCAAAAGCAGAGUACCAAGAGAGUUAAUCAAUUUAUUAACUUUUCAGAAUGUCUUUCCCUGCACUCGGCAUAAAGUAGCCUUUUAUACAUUGCAGGUUAUUUUGCCAUACAAGGAGUCUACAUAGAAGGUUAUUUUGCUAUACAAGGAGUCUAUAAUAAGAUAAUCUUGAUAGUUAAUAUUAAGAGUCCUAAUUGUAUACAUAUACGGUAACAUCCCCCCUCAAAUUGAUGCUGGUAAGUCAACCAACAACAAUUUGCCAAUAAGAAACUGAUGUCGCUGUCGAGUCAUAGCUUUAGUGAAGACAUCAGCUAUUUGGAGAUCGAAAGAUAUGUGAGGAAGAGAUAUCACCUGAUUUUCCAAGGUGUUGCGAAUAAAAUGACAAUCAACCUCAAUAUGUUUGGUGCGUUCAUGGAAAACAGGAUUGGUGGCAAUCUAAAUAGCACUAGUAUUAUCAGCAUGAAGUGGGUUAGAGGUGACCUGAGGAAACCCAAGCUCUUCGAGAAGACCGCGCAGCCAUACAAUUUCAGAACAAGCAGUAGACAUGGCACGAUACUCAGCCUCAGUGGAGGAUUUAGAAACACGGUCUUGUUUCUUACAUUUCCAAGAAAUUAAGGCAUUACCUAAAAACAUACACCAACCCGUAGUAGAUCGACGUGUAUCCGGACACCCAGCCCAAUCAGCAUCACUAUAGGCAACAAGUUGAAGAGAGGAGCCGGUAGGGAAGAACAACCCACGAUUAGGUGAGCCUCGAAGAUAGCGGAUGAUGCGUCGAACUGCAGCAAGAUGGAGAUGCCGAGGAGAAGACAUAAACUGACUGACCUGAUGGACAACAUAGGAUAUAUCAGGUCGAGUAGUGGUCAAGUAUAUAAGACUUCCAACCAGGCUCCUAUAGAGAGUAGGAUCAUCUAGUAAGUCCCCUUCAUCUUUUCUGUAUUUGACAUUUACUUCCAUAGGAGUAUCAACAUAAGAAGUGUCUUCCAAACCAGCCAAGAUGAUAAGAUCUUGAAUAUACUUAUGCUGAUUCACGAAAAUACCAUUAGGUCGGUGAUGAACUUCUAAUCCUAAGAAGUAUGUGAGCUGGCCAAGAUCUUUCAUAUGGAAAGUUGCAUGUAAUUGCUGCUGAAGCUUAGUAAUCAAACCACAGUCAGUGCCAGUAAUGAUAAUAUCAUCCACAUAAACCAGGAGAAGGACUAUACCUGACACAGAUAUGUGGAAGAAGAGAGAAGGAUCAUACUGACUUUGUAUAAAACUGAAUGAAAGAAUUGUACUGCGAAACUUCUCAAACCAAGCUCGGGGAGCCUGUUUGAGCCCAUACAAAGAACGUCUUAGUUUACAGACAUUGUGAGGAGAAGAAGUAAUCAUACCAGAGGGGAGCUUCAUGUAAAUCUCUUCAUGGAGAUCACCAUGAAGAAAGGCAUUCUUCACAUCCAUUUGAUGCAGUUGCCAUGACUGUGAAGCGACAAUAGCUAAGAUGGUUCGAACUGUGGUCAUUUUAGCAACAGGAGAAAAUGUCUCCUCAUAGUCAACCCCAAAUUCCUGCUUGUUACCCAGAGCUACGAGGCGAGCUUUGUAACGUUCUAAAGACCCAUUAGAACGUAGUUUUACAGAGAAGACCCAUUUACUGCCAAUAGGUUUGACUGUAGAAGGACAAGGAACAAUAUCCCAAGUAUGAUUCUCCUCAAGUGCUUGAAGUUCUGCUUGCAUUGCAUUUUGCCAACAUGUAUGUUUCAUGGCCUGUUUGUAACAAGAGGGAAUGGAAAUAGUGGAUAAAGUAGUGACAAGAGAGACAGGAGUGAAAAAUCCAUACCAAUCAGGGGGUCGAGAAAGACGAGUAGACCGACGAAGAGUGGUAGAAAUAAGAGCAGAAUCAGGCACCGGGUCAAGAUCGGAAAGGGGCACUAGAGAAGUGGAAUCAGACUCAUGUCGACGACGUCUUUCAUAAACAAAACCAGGUCUAAACCUUUCCACCAUUGUUAUGGAAUCAGAAAAACUAGGCAAAAGAGGUAAAGGUGCAGAUGGCAAUUCAACAUGAGAUGGAAAGAAAUAUUGAUUUUCAAAGAAAAUCACAUUCCUAGAAACCCGUAUACGACAAGCAUGAGGAUCAUAACAAACAUAACCCUUUUGAGGGAUAGCAUAACCAAGAAAAACACACUUAACAGAUUGAGCAAUAAGUUUAUGUCGUUCAUGAGCAGGGAGAUGCACAAAACAAACACAACCAAAUGUACGAAGAUCAGAAUAUAAAGGAGAAUGACCAAAUAACUUAAAGAAAGGGGAAACAUUAUUUAAUGUAGGAGAAGGUAAACGAUUAAUCAAAUGAACUGAAGUAGAAAGAGCUUCACACCAAAAACGAGGAGGAACAGAUGAUUCAAGUAAAAGAGUUCUUACUACAUCAAGAAGGUGACAAUUUUUUCUCUCAGCUACACCAUUUUGUUGUGGUGUCGAAGGACAAGAACGUUGAGAGAUGAUUCCUUUGCUUUGAAGAAAGCCUUGAAACUCAUUAGACAUGUAUUCACCACCAGAAUCAGAGCGCAAGACUUUGAUGCUGGCAGAAAAUUGAGUUUCAAGAAGUGCAAAAAAUCGCUUAAAAACCGAAAAAACUUCAGCUUUAGCUCGGAGGAAGUAAACCCACGUAAAACGACUAAAGUCAUCAAUGAAAGUAACAAAGUAUUUGUAAUGAGCAUGAGAAACAACAGGUGCAAUCCCCCAAACAUCACUAUGAAUAAUAUCAAAACAUUUGGAGGCACGAGAUGCAUGAUGAGGAAAAGGUAAAACUUUACUUUUGCCAAGUUUGCAUGAUGUACAAUCAAAAGAAAGAUCAAGAGAAGAACAUGUUUUAUGUCCCAAUAAUCCAGAAUUAAUCAAAGUUCGAAGUACAUCAGAGUUUGGAUGGCCUAAACGUUUAUGCCAUCUCUUAUUUUCAGAACCAAUAAAAUUACAUGCAAAGGAAAGUAAAGGGAAACUAGAAAUACUGGUGGAAUGAGAAAUAUGAAGAGGAAAGAGUCGUCCCACUUUAGGCCCCUUCACGAUCAUCUUCCCUGACGCUUGAUCCUGUACAACACAACCAGAAUAGGAGAAAUGAACAUCACAAUUGUUAUCAACCAAUUGACCAACAGAAAUAAGAUUUGUGGAGAGGUCAGGAGACACAAAAACAUCAGUUAAAGAAGGAGAAAGAUCACCAACAACACUGAUAGGCAGAGAACUGCCAUCAACGGUACUAAUUUUCAGAUUUCCAUCAUAAUUUCUGACAUUAGAAAGAGGAACGGUAGUAUUGGUCAUAUGGUUGGAGGCACCAGAGUCUAAAUACCAUGGCUUAAAAAGAAGUUUAUGAUUACCUGAGAACCCAAGAGCAGAAAGAGCAGAAAUGAUCAUUUGUUGUACCAUUUCAGGAGUAAGUGUAUUCGGGUUUGCUAAGCCUGUAGGAGUAGGAAUAGGAACAACAGGUGAGGCAAUAGGCAAUGCAGCAGAACCAGAGGCACCAAUGGAGGCAUGAUAAGCAGUUCCUUGUUUCCUUUCAGGUCGAAUGGGACAAGCAGAGAUGAUAUGACCAUGUUUCUUACAGUAGUUGCAGAAUUUCUUAGGGCAAUCCCGAGCAAUAUGACCAAAACCUUUACAACUAAAACAUUGGACAACAUGCAUAUUUCUACCUUUAUUUCUCCCCUGUGCUGCAUAAGCCACAGAAACAGGUGCACUAACAUUUGCCCUAUGUUCCAUAGCCGCCUGAGUUAUGAUACGCUGCUCCUCACGAAGAAGUUCACUCAAACAGGCAUCUAAAGAUGGUACAGGAUGCCGAUUCAUCAAAUUAGAGCGUGCAGUUUCAAAAUCAGAACGGAGCUUCAUCAAGAAUUGAUCUCUCUUGCUUGUGUCGUGCAUUGCUUGAACAGCAGAGAGAGCUGCAGUAGGAACAUUAGCAUAAACAAUAUUUGAAUAAUUAGCCCAAAGAUUUUGAAAACCGGAAAAGUAUUCCUCAAUAGAGAGACUUCCUUGUGUGAAGUUAGCCAUCUCAUACUCUAAUUGAAAACGCCGAGCUGUGUUAUCCUGAUUAUAAACCUUAUUUAGAUAAUUCCACAUAGCAGCAGCAGUUUUAUAAGGCCUCAAAUUGAGAACAAGAUGAGGUUCUAUUGAGCUAAGGAUCCAGGUCAUAACGCGAGCAUCCAUGAUUUCCCAUCUAGACAAAGCAUCGACAUCUGUAGGUGCAGGAUUACUCCCAUUAAUAUGCCCCCACAGUUCUUUCCCUUUGACGAAUAAUUGAAAUUGAAACUCCCAAGCAGAAUAAUUUUUCCCAUUAAGACGGAUAUGGAACAAGUCUAGCUUAUCCGAAGACAUGAUAAAGCUGAAAAGAAAUAGAUUUUGAAACUGAAACUGACAGGGAAUUAGUGCAAUGGAAGAGGGAUACACACCAGAUUCUGAAGCCAAGAGUUGCUGAGAAUAGCAGCAAAAAGACUGAUCUGAAACUACUGAGAAUAGCAGCAGAAAACCAAGAUCUGAAACAGCCAAGAGUUGCACUAGAAACCCAAUAUCUGAAACGAAGAAGAAUGAUUCUGAAAAUACCAAGAACACCACGAAAGAAGGAAGAUCUGAAGCUGCCAAGAAUAACAUCAGAAAAGCACGACAGAUUUGCAGAUUUUGAAACCAAGAACUGUGAAGAAUAGCUGCAGAGAAAACAAGAAUAACACAAAGUUGGAAAUUAAGGAUCCAACAACCACUCCUUCUCUCUCGCCUGCACACUUUCCACCAGGAGUAAUAUGAAUAAGAUGGGCCCAAGAUGAGUAAGGCAACUACAGCAAGAGCCAAAGGAAAAUUCAAGACAGAGGCAAGCAAGGAUUUGGAAGAAGCUCUGAUACCAUGUCAAGGAACCAUAUCAACCCAAUAGCUUAAGCUGUUAGGUAAGGUCCCAGGAUAUGAUUUAUAUUAUUCUCUAACACACCCCCUCAAGUGAAAGCCCUUUGAGCUUGAAACUUGCACAGGCCCACAGUACCUUUGUGCUUAAUUUUUAUCAAAUAAAUAGGGAUGGUGAGAUUCGAACUCGAGACCACUUGGUCAUCAAGGCAAGCAAGGAUUUGGAAGAGGCUCUGAUACCAUGUUAAUCUAUUCAAGCCAAAAGCAGAGUACCAAGAGAGUUAAUCAAUUUAUUAACUUUUCAGAAUGUCUUUCCCUGCACUCGGCAUAAAGUAGCCUUUUAUACAUUGCAGGUUAUUUUGCCAUACAAGGAGUCUACAUAGAAGGUUAUUUUGCUAUACAAGGAGUCUAUAAUAAGAUAAUCUUGAUAGUUAAUAUUAAGAGUCCUAAUUGUAUACAUAUACGGUAACAG